RNA transcript from Emys orbicularis (European pond turtle), 1169 nucleotides. It is a transcript of the gene named potassium voltage-gated channel subfamily E regulatory subunit 3, with no coding region annotated. The transcript has 2 exons. NCBI's taxonomy places the organism in Eukaryota, Metazoa, Chordata, Testudines, Emydidae. The record is from RefSeq and is a predicted model, not a curated record.
GCCUACUCGGUCUCUGGCCUCUCUGAGGGUGACUGCCCCGAGGGAGCCUGUCUGUGGACAUCUGUGACUUCUUGUGUGACCUUGGGGAUCUCGGUACCUGUCCAUCUCCACAACGGGACGGAUGCCAACACCACAUGGCCCCUUUGUCUCGCUCUUUGGAUGGGAGACGCUGUUGACUUCGCAGGGAGGAACCUUUCAUGGACCUGCAGAAAGGCUGAUGCCGACAGGAGACCCAGCUGCCCUUCGGGAGAGUCCAGGCUGAUGCUGUUCUACAGAACCUUAGUUUCUUGGAUAUUCCCAUCAGGCUCCUGAUUACAACUUUGGAGCAACCAAUGAUCCCCUAAAGGAUCCAUCUCAGAUUUUACACUGAGCGUGCUGGGACAGGACUGGGGGAGCCUAGUCAGUGCUGCAUGGACACCUGGCAAUGUGGACAUGACCAAUAAAGCUCAUCGUUUAUGUAGCGCAAUAAUGAGUCUCAAAGGCUUGAUUUAAGGAGUUGCUCACUAAUCUAGGACACAAGACCCAAUUGCUCUCAUCAGCUAAUGAAACUUACUUCUACAAAGAAGGCCAUCAUGGUCAGCCUGAGUUUCUUAUCGCCUCUGUCAAGGAGCGGGAUCACUAGGUCCAGCAGCAUCCUUGUGGUCUCAGGGCAAGCAUAGUGCACCAUGGCUCUGUGACACAAAGCAGAAAUACCUUUGUUAGUAAGGGAAGAAGCACAUUCUGCAACAAGGGGGUGAGGGGUCAGCUUGGGGCCACAUGGCAGCCCAGAAGUGAGGAAUGUUUCAUUCUGGAAUUGCCCCCACUAGCAGGACUGACUGCAUGGAAAACGCUUGUGUAUUACCUGGCCAGCAGGCUCACCCCAUGGAGGUGAUCUUGGGGGCUUUGUAGGAGGAUCCAGCCUUGCUCCUUCUCCAUAACCAUAAGCUCGGAACGGCAGCCAACACAGAGAAGCAGCAUCUUUAUAGCCUCCACUGCAGAGCUAGAUUCAAACAACACACCAGCGUGACUGAGUGCCAGGAGCCCCCUCAUGGUAGGUCUGUCAGGGAGUGACGGAUUCACUUGUGUGUGGAAAGACACACCAAUGGUUUAAAUAGAGCUUAGGAAGGCACAGGUUCGUGACUGGGGUUCCUAGGCACUAUAGUAAUACAAUUUAAUAAUAUGAAGAAAGA